This 72-nucleotide transfer RNA is filed under the name Ornithorhynchus anatinus (platypus). It matches the Rfam family "tRNA". Rfam says of the family: Transfer RNA (tRNA) molecules are approximately 80 nucleotides in length. Their secondary structure includes four short double-helical elements and three loops (D, anti-codon, and T loops). The record is from Rfam by way of RNAcentral. Lineage: Eukaryota; Metazoa; Chordata; Mammalia; Monotremata; Ornithorhynchidae.
CGCAGCGUGGCUCAGUGGAAAGAGCAUGGCUUUGGGAGCCAGAGGUCAUGGGUUCGAAUCCCAGCUCUGCCA